CUGUGGGAUUCUAGGCAGGUGCUCUACCACUGAGCCACACCCCAGCCCCUCACUGGGGGAUUCUAGGCAGGUGCUCUACCACUGAGCCACACCCCAGCCCCUCACUGGGGGAUUCUAGGCAGGUGCUCUACCACUGAGCCACACCCCAGCCCCUCACUGGGGGAUUCUAGGCAGGUGCUCUACCACUGAGCCACACCCCAGCCCCUCACUGGGGGAUUCUAGGCAGGUGCUCUACCACUGAGCCACACCCCAGCCCCUCACUGGGGGAUUCUAGGCAGGUGCUCUACCACUGAGCCACACCCCAGCCCCUCACUGGGGGAUUCUAGGCAGCUGCUCUACCACUGAGCCACACCCCAGCCCCUCACUGGGGGAUUCUAGGCAGGUGCUCUACCACUGAGCCACACCCC
This is a long non-coding RNA of Acomys russatus (golden spiny mouse), 407 nucleotides long. RefSeq lists it as uncharacterized. The transcript has 3 exons. NCBI's taxonomy places the organism in Eukaryota, Metazoa, Chordata, Mammalia, Rodentia, Muridae. The record is from RefSeq and is a predicted model, not a curated record.